AUUUGCUUUAACCACACCGAAUUCGAAGGCCUAAAGGGGAGAUUUCUCAAUUUCAUCUUUUUUUUUUUAGUGCUCUGCUUGCUUGGUUUCAUCUUGUGACCUCGCUUCCUCUUCUUGAAGAAGAUGAACAUAUUUACGUCUUCGUCUUCUUCAUUUAGAGGAGGGGAGUGAGGGUGAGACUAAGCUUGGAGAGCAUGAGAUGGGAUGGGAUGAUCUCUUCUUGUGGAGCUUUGUUGUGAGGAAAACUAUGGCCCAUAAUACUGAGAACCCUA
This 272-nucleotide long non-coding RNA is filed under the name Ananas comosus (pineapple). RNAcentral's name for it is "long non-coding RNA (ACOM_LNC023643)". Lineage: Eukaryota; Viridiplantae; Streptophyta; Magnoliopsida; Poales; Bromeliaceae. The record is from RNAcentral.